This 334-nucleotide small nuclear RNA is filed under the name Erinaceus europaeus (western European hedgehog). Its description in RNAcentral is "7SK RNA". It matches the Rfam family "7SK RNA", at positions 1 to 280 of the family's 331-position model. Rfam says of the family: 7SK was discovered as an abundant small nuclear RNA in the mid-70s but a possible function has only recently been suggested. Two independent studies have found that 7SK RNA binds the CDK9/cyclin T complex (known as elongation factor P-TEFb). P-TEFb activates transcription by phosphorylating the C-terminal domain of RNA polymerase II. Lineage: Eukaryota; Metazoa; Chordata; Mammalia; Eulipotyphla; Erinaceidae. The record is from Rfam by way of RNAcentral.
GGAUGUGAGGGCGAUCUGGCUGCGACAUCUGUCACCCCAUUGAGCGCCAGGGUUGAUUCGGCUGAUCUGGCUGGUUAGGCAGGUGUCCCCUUCCUCCCUCACUGCUCCAUGUGCAUCCCUUCCCAAGCUUUGCACUCCGUUGAAGAAGACGGCCUUCCCCAAUAGAGACCAGUCUUCGGUCUGUCCAGGAUACAAGAGUAGCUGCGUUCCCCUGCUAGAACCUCCAAACAAGCUCUCAAAUCUCUAUCUCCCCCAUCACACUGACUGAGUCUCCUUCCCCUCAGCCCCCUAACACACACACACACCUUUUGCAAGCAGUAUUUAACCUUUUAUG